AAUGGGUCAGCGACUUAUAUUCUGUAGCAAGGUUAACCGAAUAGGGGAGCCGAAGGGAAACCGAGUCUUAACUGGGCGUUAAGUUGCAGGGUAUAGACCCGAAACCCGGUGAUCUAGCCAUGGGCAGGUUGAAGGUUGGGUAACACUAACUGGAGGACCGAACCGACUAAUGUUGAAAAAUUAGCGGAUGACUUGUGGCUGGGGGUGAAAGGCCAAUCAAACCGGGAGAUAGCUGGUUCUCCCCGAAAGCUAUUUAGGUAGCGCCUCGUGAAUUCAUCUCCGGGGGUAGAGCACUGUUUCGGCAAGGGGGUCAUCCCGACUUACCAACCCGAUGCAAACUGCGAAUACCGGAGAAUGUUAUCACGGGAGACACACGGCGGGUGCUAACGUCCGUCGUGAAGAGGGAAACAACCCAGACCGCCAGCUAAGGUCCCAAAGUCAUGGUUAAGUGGGAAACGAUGUGGGAAGGCCCAGACAGCCAGGAUGUUGGCUUAGAAGCAGCCAUCAUUUAAAGAAAGCGUAAUAGCUCACUGGUCGAGUCGGCCUGCGCGGAAGAUGUAACGGGGCUAAACCAUGCACCGAAGCUGCGGCAGCGACACUAAGUGUUGUUGGGUAGGGGAGCGUUCUGUAAGCCUGUGAAGGUGUACUGUGAGGUAUGCUGGAGGUAUCAGAAGUGCGAAUGCUGACAUAAGUAACGAUAAAGCGGGUGAAAAGCCCGCUCGCCGGAAGACCAAGGGUUCCUGUCCAACGUUAAUCGGGGCAGGGUGAGUCGACCCCUAAGGCGAGGCCGAAAGGCGUAGUCGAUGGGAAACAGGUUAAUAUUCCUGUACUUGGUGUUACUGCGAAGGGGGGACGGAGAAGGCUAUGUUGGCCGGGCGACGGUUGUCCCGGUUUAAGCGUGUAGGCUGGUUUUCCAGGCAAAUCCGGAAAAUCAAGGCUGAGGCGUGAUGACGAGGCACUACGGUGCUGAAGCAACAAAUGCCCUGCUUCCAGGAAAAGCCUCUAAGCAUCAGGUAACAUCAAAUCGUACCCCAAACCGACACAGGUGGUCAGGUAGAGAAUACCAAGGCGCUUGAGAGAACUCGGGUGAAGGAACUAGGCAAAAUGGUGCCGUAACUUCGGGAGAAGGCACGCUGAUAUGUAGGUGAAGCGACUUGCUCGUGGAGCUGAAAUCAGUCGAAGAUACCAGCUGGCUGCAACUGUUUAUUAAAAACACAGCACUGUGCAAACACGAAAGUGGACGUAUACGGUGUGACGCCUGCCCGGUGCCGGAAGGUUAAUUGAUGGGGUUAGCGCAAGCGAAGCUCUUGAUCGAAGCCCCGGUAAACGGCGGCCGUAACUAUAACGGUCCUAAGGUAGCGAAAUUCCUUGUCGGGUAAGUUCCGACCUGCACGAAUGGCGUAAUGAUGGCCAGGCUGUCUCCACCCGAGACUCAGUGAAAUUGAACUCGCUGUGAAGAUGCAGUGUACCCGCGGCAAGACGGAAAGACCCCGUGAACCUUUACUAUAGCUUGACACUGAACAUUGAGCCUUGAUGUGUAGGAUAGGUGGGAGGCUUUGAAGUGUGGACGCCAGUCUGCAUGGAGCCGACCUUGAAAUACCACCCUUUAAUGUUUGAUGUUCUAACGUUGGCCCCUGAUCGGGGUUGCGGACAGUGUCUGGUGGGUAGUUUGACUGGGGCGGUCUCCUCCUAAAGAGUAACGGAGGAGCACGAAGGUUGGCUAAUCCUGGUCGGACAUCAGGAGGUUAGUGCAAUGGCAUAAGCCAGCUUGACUGCGAGCGUGACGGCGCGAGCAGGUGCGAAAGCAGGUCAUAGUGAUCCGGUGGUUCUGAAUGGAAGGGCCAUCGCUCAACGGAUAAAAGGUACUCCGGGGAUAACAGGCUGAUACCGCCCAAGAGUUCAUAUCGACGGCGGUGUUUGGCACCUCGAUGUCGGCUCAUCACAUCCUGGGGCUGAAGUAGGUCCCAAGGGUAUGGCUGUUCGCCAUUUAAAGUGGUACGCGAGCUGGGUUUAGAACGUCGUGAGACAGUUCGGUCCCUAUCUGCCGUGGGCGCUGGAGAACUGAGGGGGGCUGCUCCUAGUACGAGAGGACCGGAGUGGACGCAUCACUGGUGUUCGGGUUGUCAUGCCAAUGGCACUGCCCGGUAGCUAAAUGCGGAAGAGAUAAGUGCUGAAAGCAUCUAAGCACGAAACUUGCCCCGAGAUGAGUUCUCCCUGACUCCUUGAGAGUCCUGAAGGAACGUUGAAGACGACGACGUUGAUAGGCCGGGUGUGUAAGCGCAGCGAUGCGUUGAGCUAACCGGUACUAAUGAACCGUGAGG
RNAcentral lists this ribosomal RNA (2321 nucleotides) under Escherichia coli. RNAcentral's name for it is "partial 23S ribosomal RNA". It matches the Rfam family "Bacterial large subunit ribosomal RNA", at positions 614 to 2915 of the family's 2925-position model. The record is from RNAcentral. Lineage: Bacteria; Pseudomonadati; Pseudomonadota; Gammaproteobacteria; Enterobacterales; Enterobacteriaceae.